RNAcentral lists this ribosomal RNA (1596 nucleotides) under Triticum aestivum (bread wheat). Its description in RNAcentral is "partial small subunit ribosomal RNA". Lineage: Eukaryota; Viridiplantae; Streptophyta; Magnoliopsida; Poales; Poaceae. The record is from RNAcentral.
AUGGAGAGGAUGGCUAGCUCCUACUUUAAGGAGGUUUUCACUAAAGAUCCUACCUUGGAUCCGCAUGAGGUGUUGGAUAUGAUUGUUCCUAAGGUGUAUGCGGAGAUGAAUGACUCCUUGUGCAAGCCAUACUCGGAAGAGGAGAUUUCAAAUGCCCUUUUCCAGAUCGGGCCCCUGAAAGCUCCGGGCUACGAUGGCUUCCCAGCUAGGUUUUAUCAAAGGAAUUGGGCUAUUUUGAAAGUGGAAAUAGUGGCUGCAGUGCAAGAGUUUUUUGAUACUGUCAUCAUGCCAAAUGGUGUUAAUGACACGACGAUUGUGUUAAUUCUAAAAGUGCCCCACCCUAAGGAACUAAAAGAUUUCCGCCCCAUUAGUCUAUGUAAUGUGGUGUACAAGAUCGUGUCUAAAUGCAUGAUGAACAGGCUCCGGCCGCUCCUGUCUGAGCUUAUCUCUGAAAGUCAGAGUGCAUUCAUUCCAGGGAGGUUUAUCUCAGACAAUUCCAUUAUUGCCUUCGAGUGCAUUCAUAUUCACUCAGUCAAGGAGAAUUCACCAGCUUUGUGUGCAUACAAACUUGAUCUAUCGAAGGCGUAUGACCGCGUUUGGUUCUCCUUGGAAAGGGCGCUCUCUAAAUGGGGCUUCUCUGAUCAGUGGAUCUCUCGCGUUAUGGCAUGUGUCUCAUCAGUGAAGUAUUCUGUUAAAUUUAAUGGCAAACUAUUGGAGUCCUUCUCUCCCUCGAGAGGUCUACGCCAAGGUGAUCCAUUACCCCCCUUCCUUUUCCUCUUUGUGGCUGACGCUCUGUCUAUCCUUCUGAACAAGUCAAUGAACGAGCAAGGCCUACAAGGGGUCACGAUUUGUAGAGGGGCCCCGGUCAUCUCACACCUCUUAUUUGCGGAUGAUUCCCUCCUGUUUUUACAUGCCUCAGAGUAGCAUGCUCUCUUGGUUAAAGGUGUGUUGAACACGUAUUCGGCGGCGACCGGACAAUUGAUCAACCCAUCGAAGUGUUCCAUUCUUUUUUCAGAUAACUGUCUGCAGAGUGUGGCUCAAGAGAUCAAAACUGUGUUGGAGAUUACUCAAGAGGUGUUUGAGCGCAAGUACUUGGGUCUUCCUGUCCCGGAAGGAAGAAUUCAUAAAGGUGAUUUUGAAACAAUCCAAGAGCGCCUACGGAAGAAACUUAUAGAUUGGAGUGAGCAAUAUAUGUCCGCUGGUAAUAAGGAGAUUCUUAUUAAAGUUGUGGCCCAGGACCUUCCUGCUUAUGUAAUGAGUGUUUUCAAGCUUCCUGCAUCGGUCCGUGACGAACUAACUUGCAUGAUACGCCAAUACUGGUGGGGAGUGGAGAACGGCAAGAAGAAGAUGGCUUGGAUGAGCUAGGACAAACUGAGGCUGCCAAAGUCCAUGGGUGGCAUGGGGUUUCGUGACAUGAGGUUCUUUAACCAGGCAUUGCUUGCUAAACAAGCGUGGCGUUUGCUGGACAAGCCGGAGAGUCUUUGUGCUUGCCUUCUAAAGGCAAAAUAUUAUCCUUCUGAACAGUUGCUCGAUACGGUGUUUUCAGGCAAUGGUUCAUCAGUGUGGAAAGGUAUAUUGCAUGUCUUGGAUUUGCUC